RNAcentral lists this ribosomal RNA (243 nucleotides) under Frankia sp. RNAcentral's name for it is "partial 16S rRNA". It matches the Rfam family "Bacterial small subunit ribosomal RNA", at positions 910 to 1155 of the family's 1533-position model. Lineage: Bacteria; Bacillati; Actinomycetota; Actinomycetes; Frankiales; Frankiaceae. The record is from RNAcentral.
UUGACGGGGGCCCGCACAAGCGGCGGAGCAUGUGGCUUAAUUCGAUGCAACGCGAAGAACCUUACCAGGGCUUGACAUGCAGAGAAAUCCUGUAGAGAUAUGGGGUCCUUCGGGGAUCUGCACAGGUGGUGCAUGGCUGUCGUCAGCUCGUGUCGUGAGAUGUUGGGUUAAGUCCCGCAACGAGCGCAACCCUUGUCCUAUGUUGCCAGCGCGUAAUGUCGGGGACUCAUAGGAGACUGCCGG